AUCAAGUUAAGGCAUGAAAAUCUCGCUUUUUUUUAAGGAGAUUCAAGCCUUCUGCGGUUGGCAAAGCUUUUAAACCGAUGCAGCAGAACACAGACUUGUCCCCUCUAGGAUACAACGGCUUGACGCUCGUCGUGUGGCUUCACCAACUCUGCACAAGUGGAUGAACCCAAAGCUUCACCAAAAGAAACACAUUUCUUUAGCCUUCUCUCUCUCUCAAAUAGAAUAUAGAUUAGUGAUAUUGUAGUUUUCGUCGUU
RNAcentral lists this long non-coding RNA (255 nucleotides) under Ananas comosus (pineapple). Its description in RNAcentral is "long non-coding RNA (ACOM_LNC016431)". Lineage: Eukaryota; Viridiplantae; Streptophyta; Magnoliopsida; Poales; Bromeliaceae. The record is from RNAcentral.